GACAAAAUGUCGGUCAAAUUGGCCAUCAGUUAGCUAGCUCGCUCGUUAGCUUAGCCAUCGCCGCUCUUUGAACUUGACACGUGACGUCACAAAGAGCACCCCAGUCUUCGCCGUGUGAUUGGCGGAUUCACUUAUUUUAGGGCGGUCCUAAUAAUGGGAAAGACAUAAAUACCAAGUGAACAAGCAAAGCCCAUUCCGAGUGUCAUGAUGUAUGACCGAUAGUGGGAAACCAUUUGGCAAGUGGUGAGCACCGACUCGGCCAAGAUGCUGAACCAACGAGAGCAGGUCAGCGGUGCACCGUCAGUAGUGAGCAUCAGCCUCCUUCCUGUUGGAGUGAUAUUAAGACAGACCUUUUCAGAGCUGGUGCCGGGCCAGGUUCGCCAUCCUCCUGGACCUUUGCCAGCAAAUUCAAACACAAAGAGGAGGAAAUGCGCUGACACGUCCACCGCGCCUUACAUAAAAAAAAAAAAACGAACGCAUUCAUAGUAUUUAUGAAGGAGCAGCGGCCCUGUGGUCAAGGCUGCUGCGCCACGGCAAGACAGUGCCGCUGUCAACAAGGUCCUGGGGCAAAUGUGGAAGUCGCUGACGUCGGCUGUGCAGCUCUUCUUCCAAGAACCUGAGCGGCUCAUACCUGAGCGGGCAAAAAGCAAAAGAGCAAGUGGGCAGUGCAGCCACUAGUGUAAAUCAUCUGACCGGUCGGCGGUGCGCCGUCGGUGGUGAGCAUCAGCCUCCUUCCUGUUGGAGUGAUACACAACUGUAUCCAACUUGUUUGUGCCAUAUAAUGUGUCAAAUGUGUAUGAAUCCUUGACGUUUGCAUCUUCGCACACUUCCUGUUGUUCAACACGCGUGUUUUGACGUGUUUGUAGAUUAAGACAGACCUUUUCCGAGCUGGUGCCGAGCCCAGUUUGCCAUCCUCCGCCAGCGAAUUCAAAGGCAGUAUUCUCUGUAAAAUGUCUUUCCUUGCACAUGCACACAGAAGCGACAUGAUGCUUUGUUUUCCCUUUAGCACAAAGAGGAGGAAAUGCGGGGACACGUCCACCGCACCUUACGUAAAAAAAACCCCCGAACGCAUUCGUAGUAUUUAUGAAGCCGCUGCGCCACGGCAAGACAGCGCCGCGGUCAACAAGGUCCUGGGGCAAAUGUGGAAGUCGCUGACGCCGGCUGAGCAGCUCAGAUACUUCCAAGAAUCUGAGCGCCACCAGGUAGCCGGACUGGACCUACAGAGACAACUACGGAAAAAAGCAAAAGAGAAAGGGGGGCAGUGCAGCCACCAGCGUAAAUCAUCUGACCGGGUCGCGGGCGUGCUGGAUCCUAUCCCAGCUAUCAUCGGGCAGGAGUCGGGGUAAACCCUGAACUGGUUGCCAGCCAAUCGAAGGCCCAAUCAGCAAUCGGCCAGAGGAGGGAGUAUUUGCUGUUAUAAUUUGUAAUUAUACUAAUUGGGCAUUUCUUGACAUUUGAAUUUAUCUUGUCUAUGUUUUUCCAUGUUAAAAGUUAGUUAUUGCAAAUAAGUGCCGCUUCCCCACAUGAAAGGGAUGGAUUCAGCGAUGGAAGAUUUCAUCUGGAUUUUACUCAAUGACCAAGAAACAUUUUCCUUUUGUCUCAUUUUAAUUUUGCAUUGAGUAGUUUGACAGUGGCGGCACGGUGGCCGACUGGUUAGAGCGUCAGCCUCACAGUUCUGAGGACCCGGGUUCAAUCCCCGGCCCCGACUUGUGUGGAGUUUGCAUGUUCUACCCGUGUCUGCGUGGGUUUUCUCCGGGCACUCCGGUUUCCUCCCACAUCCCAAAAACAUGCAUAAAUUGGAGACUCUAAAUUGCCCGUAGGCAUGACUGUGA
Molecule: long non-coding RNA, 1832 nt
Organism: Phycodurus eques (leafy seadragon)
Lineage: Eukaryota; Metazoa; Chordata; Actinopteri; Syngnathiformes; Syngnathidae
Exons: 10
Source: RefSeq, a predicted model, not a curated record